Molecule: transfer RNA, 64 nt
Filed under: Ephemerella sp. Yunnan-2018
Lineage: Eukaryota; Metazoa; Arthropoda; Insecta; Ephemeroptera; Ephemerellidae
Description: tRNA-Asn
Source: RNAcentral
UUGAACGAAGCCAAAGAGAGGCCUAUCACUGUUAAUGAUAAAAAUGAUGUUAAAUCCGUUUAAG